Molecule: ribosomal RNA, 374 nt
Filed under: uncultured organism
Description: partial 16S ribosomal RNA
Rfam family: Bacterial small subunit ribosomal RNA
Source: RNAcentral
GUAGGUGGCAAGCGUUGUCCGGAAUUAUUGGGCGUAAAGCGCGCGCAGGUGGUUCUUUAAGUCUGAUGUGAAAGCCCCCGGGCUCAACCGGGGAGGGUCAUUGGAAACUGGGGAACUUGAGUGCAGGAGAGGAAAGUGGAAUUCCACGUGUAGCGGUGAAAUGCGUAGAUAUGUGGAGGAACACCAGUGGCGAAGGCGACUUUCUGGCCUGUAACUGACACUGAGGCGCGAAAGCGUGGGGAGCAAACAGGAUUAGAUACCCUGGUAGUCCACGCCGUAAACGAUGAGUGCUAAGUGUUGGGGGGUUUCCGGCCCCUCAGUGCUGCAGCUAACGCAUUAAGCACUCCGCCUGGGGAGUACGGUCGCAAAGACUG